CCUACGGGGGGCAGCAGUGGGGAAUCUUGCACAAUGGGGGAAACCCUGAUGCAGCAACGCCGCGUGAAGGAAGACGGUUUUCGGAUUGUAAACUUCUGUUCUCAGGGACGAAGAAAGUGACGGUACCUGAGGAAUAAGCCACGGCUAACUACGUGCCAGCAGCCGCGGUAAUACGUAGGUGGAAAGCGUUAUCUGGAUUUAUUGGGUGUAAAGGGCGUGUAGGCGGGAGCGCAAGUCAGAUGUGAAAACUCAGGGCUCAACCCUGAGCCUGCAUUUGAAACUGUGUUUCUUGAGUGCUGGAGAGGCAAUCGGAAUUCCGUGUGUAGCGGUGAAAUGCGUAGAUAUACGGAGGAACACCAGUGGCGAAGGCGGAUUGCUGGACAGUAACUGACGCUGAGGCGCGAAAGCGUGGGGAGCAAACAGGAUUAGAUACCCCUGUAGUC
Molecule: ribosomal RNA, 443 nt
Filed under: uncultured bacterium
Lineage: Bacteria
Description: partial 16S ribosomal RNA
Rfam family: Bacterial small subunit ribosomal RNA
Source: RNAcentral